CCUACGGGCGACAGCAGUGAGGAAUAUUGGUCAAUGGACGAGAGUCUGAACCAGCCAAGUAGCGUGAAGGAUGACUGCCCUAUGGGUUGUAAACUUCUUUUAUAUGGGAAUAAAAUGUUCCACGUGUGGGAUUUUGUAUGUACCAUAUGAAUAAGGAUCGGCUAACUCUGUGCCAGCAGCCGCGGUAAUACGGAGGAUCCGAGCGUUAUCCGGAUUUAUUGGGUUUAAAGGGAGCGUAGGUGGAUUGUUAAGUCAGUUGUGAAAGUUUGCGGCUCAACCGUAAAAUUGCAGUUGAAACUGGCAGUCUUGAGUACAGUAGAGGUGGGCGGAAUUCGUGGUGUAGCGGUGAAAUGCUUAGAUAUCACGAAGAACUCCGAUUGCGAAGGCAGUUCACUGGACUGCAACUGACACUGAGGCUCGAAAGUGUGGGUAUCAAACAGGAUUAGAUACCCGGGUAGUC
Molecule: ribosomal RNA, 460 nt
Filed under: uncultured bacterium
Lineage: Bacteria
Description: partial 16S ribosomal RNA
Rfam family: Bacterial small subunit ribosomal RNA
Source: RNAcentral